Molecule: ribosomal RNA, 425 nt
Filed under: uncultured bacterium
Lineage: Bacteria
Description: bacterial SSU rRNA
Rfam family: Bacterial small subunit ribosomal RNA
Source: RNAcentral
UGGGAAUUUUGGACAAUGGGCGCAAGCCUGAUCCAGCAAUGCCGCGUGCAGGAUGAAGGCCUUCGGGUUGUAAACUGCUUUUGUCAGGGAAGAAACGAGUUUCUCUAAUACAGAGACUUAAUGACGGUACCUGAAGAAUAAGCACCGGCUAACUACGUGCCAGCAGCCGCGGUAAUACGUAGGGUGCAAGCGUUAAUCGGAAUUACUGGGCGUAAAGCGUGCGCAGGCGGUUAUGCAAGACAGAGGUGAAAUCCCCGGGCUCAACCUGGGAACUGCCUUUGUGACUGCAUAGCUAGAGUACGGUAGAGGGGGAUGGAAUUCCGCGUGUAGCAGUGAAAUGCGUAGAUAUGCGGAGGAACACCGAUGGCGAAGGCAAUCCCCUGACCUGUACUGACGCUCAUGCACGAAAGCGUGGGGAGCAAACA